AGCUCCAGCAGGCCUCACUGCAGAGCUCUGAGAGGCGUGUAUAUCAGGCUCAGUACUUUGCAUCCUGAGAGGCAACCACAGUGUGAGACAAAAUUAAAGAAAUACCAAAGGAUACCUGCAGAGUACAUCAUGUGGAAUGCUGGGCUGGAUGAAGCAUAAGCUGGAAUCAAGAUUGCCAGGAGAAAUAUUGAUAACCACAAACACAUGGAUGACACUACCCUUAUGGCAGAAAGAAGAAGAACUAAAGAGCCUCUUGAUGAAAGUGAAAGAGGAGAGUGAAAAAAUGGCUUAAAACUCAACAUUCAGAAAACUAAGAUCAUGGCAUCUGGUCCCAUCACUUCAUGACAAAUAGAUGGGGAAACAGUGGAAACAAUGAGACUUUGUUUUUUGGGGCUCCAAAAUCACUGCAGAUAGUGACUGCAGCCAUGAAGUUAAAAGACACUUGUUCCUUGGAAGAAAAACUUGACCAACCUAGACAGCAUAUUAAAAGGCAGAGACAUUACCAACAAAAGUCCAUCUAGUAAAAGCUAUGGUUUUUCCAGUAGUCAUGUUAUGGAUGUGAGAGUUGGACUAUAAAGAAAGUUGAGCACCGAAGAAUUGAUGCUUUUGAACUGUGGUAUUGGAGAAGACUCUUGAGAGUCCCUUGGGCUGCAAGGAGAUCAAACCAGUCCAUCCUAAAGGAAGUCAGUCUUGAAUAUUCAUUGGAAGUACUGAUGCUGAAGCUGAAACUCCAAUACUUUGGCCAUCUGAUUCGAAGAACUGACUUAUUUGAAAAAACCCUAAUGCUAGGAAAGAUUGAAGGUGGGAGGAGAAGGGGACGACAGAGGAUGAGAUGGUUGGAUGGCAUCACCUACCCAAUGGACAUGAGUUUGGGUAAACUCCGGGAAUUGGUGAUGGACAGGGAAGCCUGGUGUGCUGCAGUCCAUGGAGUCACAAAGAGUCAGACAUGACUGAGCGACUGAACUGAACUGAAAGGAUACCAACAUUUUCAGGAAGUCUUUUUUUUUUUUUUAACUUAUUUCUACCUCAUUUGGCUUCAAAAGAGGAUUUGGGGUAGCUCCAGGGAUACAUGUAAUGCAACAGAAUAAAAGUAAAAUAGAUGAGAAAGGCAGAGGAACAUAAGGGUAGAAAAAGAUGAAAUCAGAGUCAACACCGUACACGAAAUGUCUAUCUUCAGUUAAGCACGUGCAUUAGUAGAGGUGGGCUGCACACUUGGGUCUGAGCCUUCUCAGCUGCCACAGGAAAGAGUCCCAUCCUGUGGUGAGUUCACUGUACCAGUAAAAUAUAAAGUUUCCAGGGAUCGAGGUCUGAGAGAAGUCUCUUUUGUGGGUCUCCAUUUAGGGUACUUUCGUGAGGCAGUGGACACUGUUCCCAACCACAUCCCUUGCAAAAUACAAAGCUGUGUUUCACAAAGCUAUCUAUUGUAAUACUAAAAUGCAAAACAAUGAAGUUGGGCCCUUACCUCACACCAUAUACAAAAAUUAACUCAAAAUGGAUCAAACCCCUAAAAGUAAGCCCUAACACUAGAAAGCUCUUAGAAGAGACUUCCCUGGUGAUCCAGUGGUUAAGACUCCACGCUUCCACCCAGGGGAUGUGGGUUUGAUCCCUGGUCAGGGAACUAAGAUCCUCUAUGCCUCGUGGUAUGACAA
Molecule: long non-coding RNA, 1649 nt
Organism: Bos taurus (domestic cattle)
Lineage: Eukaryota; Metazoa; Chordata; Mammalia; Artiodactyla; Bovidae
Source: Ensembl